RNAcentral lists this ribosomal RNA (433 nucleotides) under uncultured bacterium. RNAcentral's name for it is "partial 16S ribosomal RNA". It matches the Rfam family "Bacterial small subunit ribosomal RNA", at positions 29 to 507 of the family's 1533-position model. The record is from RNAcentral.
AACGAACGCUGGCGGCAUGCCUAACACAUGCAAGUCGAACGAAACCUUCGGGUCUAGUGGCGCACGGGUGCGUAACGCGUGGGAACCUGCCCUUAGGUUCGGAAUAACUCCCCGAAAGGGGUGCUAAUACCGGAUAAUGUCUUCGGACCAAAGAUUUAUCGCCUUUGGAUGGGCCCGCGUUGGAUUAGCUAGUUGGUAGGGUAAAAGCCUACCAAGGCGACGAUCCAUAGCUGUUCUGAGAGGAUGAUCAGCCACACUGGGACUGAGACACGGCCCAGACUCCUACGGGAGGAAGCAGUGGGGAAUAUUGGACAACGGGCGAAAGCGUAAUCCAGCAAUGCCGCGUGAGUGAUGAAGGCCUUAGGGUUGUAAAGCUCUUUUACCCGGGAUGAUAAUGACAGUACCGGGAGAAUAAGCUCCGGCUAACUCCGUG